GCCGUUAUGCAUCGUAUUAUAUUUUUGCAAGCCGAUUUUUCCAAAGAUUUAAUCGUUUGGAUGAGUAAUGAUGAGUAAAAGUUAUAAUCGUUGUGAAUGGUGAAUUAACACAUGGCUAGUUAUUGCCAAUAGGAGGAUUUUUUCUUAUGAAAAACGGUAAAGUUAAAUGGUUUAACGCUGAAAAAGGUUUCGGAUUCAUCGAAGCUGAAGAUGGAAACGACGUAUUUGUACAUUACUCUGCUAUCCAAACUGAAGGUUUCAAAUCUUUAGAAGAAGGCCAAGAAGUAUCUUUCGAAGUUGUUGAAGGUGCUCGUGGACCACAAGCUGCUAACGUAACUAAACUAUAAUUGACAAACUAAUAAUGAAACAGUCCUGUUCUAUUGGCGGGACUGUUUUU
RNAcentral lists this small RNA (397 nucleotides) under Cytobacillus solani. Its description in RNAcentral is "cspA thermoregulator". It matches the Rfam family "cspA thermoregulator", at positions 49 to 428 of the family's 428-position model. Lineage: Bacteria; Bacillati; Bacillota; Bacilli; Caryophanales; Bacillaceae. The record is from Rfam by way of RNAcentral.